GACGAACCGUGCAAACGUUGUUCGGAAUCACUGGGCUUAAAGGGCGCGUAGGCGGGCAGGCAAGUCGAAGGUGAAAUCCCACGGCUCAACCGUGGAAGUGCCCCCGAUACUGCCUGUCUCGAGGGAGAUAGGGGCGUGCGGAACUUCCGGUGGAGCGGUGAAAUGCGUAGAUAUCGGGAGGAACACCAGUGGCGAAGGCGACUACCUGGCCUGUUCUUGACGCUGAGGCGCGAAAGCUAGGGGAGCAAACGGG
Molecule: ribosomal RNA, 253 nt
Filed under: uncultured bacterium
Lineage: Bacteria
Description: partial 16S ribosomal RNA
Rfam family: Bacterial small subunit ribosomal RNA
Source: RNAcentral